UCCUAAAACACACACAAGAAAGCCCCGUUAUAUCUGGUGGAGGUACCCGUGGUCAAUAUGUCAGUAACCGGAGUUAUGAUGUGUCUGAAAUCUGGACGAAUUACAAAGUUAUCAUGUGUUAUGGCGUGUGCCGAAAACAGAAGCAAUUUGGUCUUCCGUUCAAGAGAAACUAUAGGAUAACUGAAGUGAGAAAUGUAUGCCACGGAGAAUUGAGUUAGGAUGACUUUGUAUACAUAUUAAUGUAAGUGACUUGCUGUAAAUAUUUGUGAAACUUUUGUGUCAGUCAUUUUGUUUCCUUGGUUUUAUGGAAACGCAUUAUCCUCGAACUUUGAAGAACAAUUAGAAGAACGCCUGUGAGAAUUUUUGAUGAAUAGAAACUUGAGAUGACUCUGAGAUGUUACAACAGACUAGCAGUAACGUGUAUAUCGUAACUUUUGUGUUGGUAACAAUGUAUUAUAUGUAAAUGUAAAUAACAGAGUGGACUGGCGUAUCGUCGAUCCGAAACCGGCAAAGAACCGUUAUAAAUGACAAGUUCCUGAUGAAAGAUUCGAAGAAGUGGCUCCGCACGUUCAAACCGAAGAAGUCAUGUGGACAAUAUUUUCAUGUUUGUAAAUAACUUUAGUUUUCAUAAAUGUUUUUAUCCAUUCAGAAUGUUUUAUGCCUAGGUUUAGUUUUUUAUUGUAUAUUUUUUUGCAUUUUAUUUUGUAUUACACAUGUUUGAUUAAGCUAGUUUUUAAUCUCUUGUUAUUACGAGAGUGGGCGUAUUGGGUGUAGUUAAGUUAACCGAGAAGGGUUGCUUAUACUAGUUGGAGGUUCAUGGGAGUGUCCAUGUGAAGAUGAUUUACAGUGUUGGUAGUUCUAUGGUGAUACGGUCACAUAGAAGUGAAAAUUGCAGCUAAUGAGAUGCUGAUUUUCUGAAUUGGAUUGCCCAGAGAUAAUGAUUAGUUGAUUUUAAUUGAUGCUUUUAAUUAUUUAUCAUUUUGUUUACGCUUGGAUUAACGGUCAAAAUUCCGGAAAGACCUUACCAUAAUGUAUUUGAAUAGAUUAAUAAUUGUCAAACUUGUGUUAUAUAUUUUUAUGAUUUUUGUUUAGUGUCUCUUUUGUAGUUAUAAAUAUCAAGAGUUUGAAGUUGAAAGGAUAAUUGUUAAUUUAGAUUUUAAGAUUAAUCUUUUUGCAAGUUUUCCACAACUAUUCACGACGUAAAUUGAUAAAUUACAUGGUAUAGCAAUUAUCAUUAUUUUUUUUAUUAUUAGUUUAGAUUUUUUUCAGUAGUUUUAGUUAAA
Molecule: long non-coding RNA, 1283 nt
Filed under: Mytilus galloprovincialis (Mediterranean mussel)
Lineage: Eukaryota; Metazoa; Mollusca; Bivalvia; Mytilida; Mytilidae
Source: RNAcentral